AUUAUUAUUAAAAAACUAUCACGGAGAGUUUGAUUCUGGCUCAGGAUGAACGCUGGCGGUAUGCUUAACACAUGCAAGUUGAACGAAGAUACUAAUUCAUUGAAUUAUAAUACUUAGUAGCGGACGGGUGAGUAACGCGUAAGAAUCUACCUUUAGGAAAAGGAUAACAACUGGAAACGGUUGCUAAUACUUUAUAUGCUGAGAAGUUAAAUAGGUUACUGCCUAAAGAUGAGCUUGCGUCUGAUUAGCUAGUUGGUAAGGUAAAGGCUUACCAAGGCAAUUAUCAGUAGUUGGUCUGAGAGGAUGAUCAGCCACACUGGGACUGAGACACGGCCCAGACUCCUACGGGAGGCAGCAGUGAGGAAUUUUUCGCAAUGGGCGCAAGCCUGACGAAGCAAUACCGCGUGAAGGAUGAAGGCCUGCGGGUUGUAAACUUCUUUUAUUAGAGAAGAUAAUGACGGUAUCUAAUGAAUAAGCAUCGGCUAACUAUGUGCCAGCAGCCGCGGUAAUACAUAGGAUGCAAGCGUUAUCCGGAAUGAUUGGGCGUAAAGCGUCUGUAGGUGGUUUAAAAAGUCAACUGUUAAAAACUAAGGCUCAACCUUAGGCAGGCAGUUGAAACUUUUAAACUAGAGUAUGGCAGAGGUAGAGGGAAUUACUGGUGUAACGGUGAAAUGUGCAGAUAUCAGUAAGAACACCAAUGGCGAAAGCACUCUACUGGACCAAAACUGACACUCAGAGACGAAAGCUAGGGGAGCGAAUAGGAUUAGAUACCCUAGUAGUCCUAGCUGUAAACGAUGGAAACUAAAUAUUGCGUUUUUAAAAUGCAGUAUUGUAGCUAACGCGUUAAGUUUCCCGCCUGGGGAGUAUGCUCGCAAGAGUGAAACUCAAAGAAAUUGACGGGGGCCCGCACAAGCGGUGGAGCAUGUGGUUUAAUUCGAUGCAACGCGAAGAACCUUACCGGGGUUUGACAUACUAUGCGUUUUUUGGAGACGAAAAAGUUUAAACAUAGAUACAGGUGGUGCAUGGCUGUCGUCAGCUCGUGUCGUGAGACGUAGGGUUAAGUCCUGUAACGAGCGCAACCCUUAUUGUUAGUUGCUUUAAGGAAACUAGCAAGACUGCCAGUGAUAAGCUGGAGGAAGGUGAGGAUGACGUCAAGUCAGCAUGCCCCUUAAAUCCCGGGCUACACACGUGCUACAAUGGUUAAGACAAAGAGAUGCUAACUUGUGAAAGUACAGCCAACCUCAAAAACUUAAUCUCAGUUCGGAUUGUAGGCUGCAACUCGCCUACAUGAAGCUGGAAUCGCUAGUAAUCGCAGGUCAGCUAUACUGCGGUGAAUACGUUCCCGGGCCUUGUACACACCGCCCGUCACACCAUCGGAGCUGACUAGGCCCGAAGCCGUUGUAAACGUCUAAGGCACAGUUAGUGACGAGGGUGAAGUCGUAACAAGGUAGGGCUACUGGAAGGUGGCCCUGGAUCACCUCCUUC
Molecule: ribosomal RNA, 1485 nt
Filed under: Ulva expansa
Lineage: Eukaryota; Viridiplantae; Chlorophyta; Ulvophyceae; Ulvales; Ulvaceae
Description: bacterial SSU rRNA
Rfam family: Bacterial small subunit ribosomal RNA
Source: RNAcentral